UAAGAAAAUACACAAGAAAACUCGUUGUACGACAAGAAAAAAACUGCAUGCAAACAUAAAAGAAAAUUGGCUUUUGGUACUUUUUCCAAGUAGAAGAACGAAAUAAAAAUCGCUUUCCGUGUGCAGUGAAAGAAUAGAGGACGCCCGUUUGCACUUACGCAUUAUUGUUCGCUACUGCGUCGGGCGAAAGAGUUUUUCUUGACUUUGUGUAUGUGUGUGAAAAAGGGGAGGGAAUUGGUGUGGUUGGGAUUGCGAGGAAAGUAGAAACUCUGCCGUCGUCGUUGUCGACGACAGAUUUCGAGAAAUACUACAGAGAAGGUGAAAUGCAGACGUGCCGGGAUGCGAGUUCAUAAGAAUAUUCUUGUUUAAAAUAAAAGAAUUAAGUUUUAAAAGUACUGUGUACACCAUUUAACAUGCACUAAAUGAGUGAUUUUUGCUUUAAUUGAAAAAUAGACGUGAAAGCAAAUAGCAAAGGUGUACCUGCAUUGUAAAAGUGUGAACAACGGCGUUACCCUGGUAAAGGGGAGGCGUCGCCAUACGGUAGCGUGAAAAACGCUGACAUUACGGAAAAUUUUGGAGCAUAAGAAAAAAUAAAAUAAAAAAGACGGGUGGGGUCAAGAAGGCUGCCUUGGCUGGUUGCACGUACGGUCGAUUGAAACGCAGUCAGGCAGUCUGCCGCGUACACGACUACGGAGGGUGAGGCUGCAUCCAGCGAUAACUACGAACAAAGUAUUGACCAUUCAAAUUCAAUGCAAUUCAACAAAGCAAAGAGUAUAAAAUAGAAAGCAGGCCAUUGGUCAGUGCUUGUUGGCUCUAUAUCCUGUUUGUGCUACGCCAGUUAUGGUGAAAGUGUUUAUAAUGCUGUACAUACAAGAAAUUGGACGAUGCUGAGUUCGCAAUCAAAAUCAUUAUCCUGUAAUCUAAUAUGGGUGUGCCGGAUAUUUGUAAAAUAUAACUAAAAAUUAACUUGCGCAGCAGCAGCAGUAGCAACCUGCGAAUUUCACAAGCCAUAAAUAAACGCGAGUUGGGGAAGGAGGAGGAAAAAGGAAGUAGGUAGCAAGGCAAACAUAAACCGGCAGACCAUACUUGCCCUACCCCGCGAAUCGCAUUACUACGUCGGUACACACGAACAUACUGGCACACACUUAAAAGAACAAAACAUAGAACAUUUAGUGCUCUGAAUGCGUUUGAACAACGUGAAGCGCUUUGCGUCUCGUCGCGCAAUUAAAAACGGCGAAUCCUACAGAAGAAGUUUAGUAGCCUGAAAAAUUCAAAUUGCCAAUGCCGAAUAACGUCAUAAAGAGUAGCAGCGCCAGCGCCAGUAGUACCAGUAAUGGGCGCAGCAGCAGCAGCAACAACAGUAGUAGCAGUAGUAGUGCCAAUGCAAAUCAAGCAAAAUCAAUUACUAGCCAUAAAAAUGAAACGAAAACGCCGACCGCUUCAUCAACUACAUCGUCGUUUGUAGCAACGUCCAACUCACUGCCAGACAAAAGCGUUAUAGUUAAACAAUCCAACAACAACGAACGCAUUGCUGCACAUCGGCGUGAUGGUUCCAGUAUUGCCGGAAUACAACGACAGCCAUUUCGUAAGCUUCAAUAUAUUAGCCCGCAAUCGAAGUUUCGUGAUGCAGUAGCAUCAUUAGACACUGUAGGUGAUGUGUCAUUGAAUGAAAGUCGUAGUGAUUUGUUAGUCUAUACCGAAGAUGGACACUUGGUGUCGGCCAGUUUGGAGGCGCUCAUCACACAUAUGGUGCCGACCAGCGAAUAUUAUCCAGAACAAAAUUUUAUAUUCGCAUUUUUACUAAGCGCUCGCCUAUUUGUGCGGCCGCAUGAAUUACUUGCGCAAAUUUCUAAAACAUGGGAACGUCAACAGCAAAAGCAGCAGCAACAGCACCAACAGGAACAGCAACAAGGCGUUGAUGUUGUUGACGAGGCACAUUUUAGCCAUUUGGCUGUAGCCGCCUCCGCGUCUCCGCUAAUGCAGCGCAAAACUGCAAACAAUGCUGCUAUUUUGCCACAAACAGUUGGUCAUAAUGAGGUAAAUGUAAUUGUCGAAGGCCACCUCAAGCAGCGCACCGCCAUACAGCUGAGCGCACAAAAUUGCAUACGUUUGCUAGCCGAGUGGAUUGAAACGUUUCCGUAUGAUUUUCGAGAUGAGCGCCUAAUGCAGCAGGUGCGUAUAUUGGCGCGCAAGUGUGUCUAUAUUGAUAAUGCACUCGGUAGGCGAGUGUCACGCAUUCUACAGCUGUUGGUGCAUCGUCUGACAGUGCUCGAGCAAUAUGAGGCAACAUUGCAAACAAUGGCAGCUACGGAUCUCACCACAGGCAACAAUCAUCAACAAUUACCGCACUACAACACAUCGGCGGGGGCGGCCACAACGGCUGUCAAUCAAAGCGGUACGCACAACUCGCUGAUAGGUUGUGUAAAGAGUCACACGCUUCAUACAAGCAGCAUCGCAGAGACACACAAAUCAAGCACAAACACGAACAAUUCAAAUUCAUUGAGCUCCGGAGCGGUGGCUACUGUAGCAGUAGCCAUAGAUGGCAAUAGCGCGCAUGAAAUACACGGCAUCAUGGAUAUCUGCCCGAGUUGUGCGCAGCUAGCGCAUCAGCUGACCGCCAUUGAGCUUGAGCGUUUGUCACACAUUGGGCCGGAGGAAUUUGUGCAAGCUUUCGCCAAGGAAUACCAACAUUCCAUUGAGGGAAAGUCGACAGCACCAACAGGGACGAAUACCAGUAAGAGUUCGACGAACAUGGAAUCCGCGGCAACGUUAAAUGAUAUGAAAAAAACACGCAAUCUAGAAUCGUACGUGGAGUGGUUUAACCGCCUGAGCUACCUGACUGCGUCGGAGAUUGUAAAGUAUCCGAAGAAGAAGCAGCGUGUACGCAUUAUCGAAUAUUGGAUUGAGACGGCACGAGAGUGUUUCAACAUAGGCAACUUUAACAGCUUGAUGGCCAUUAUAGCUGGCUUGAAUUUGGCGCCCAUUUCGAGGCUUAAGAAAACGUGGUCGAAAGUGCAAUCUGCAAAAUUCUCCGUGCUGGAACAUCAAAUGGAUCCUACAUCGAAUUUCAAUAGUUAUCGCUCAACACUUAAAGCCGCUAUGUGGCGUUCCGAGGGCGCUACCGAAGAACGUGAACGCAUAAUCAUUCCAUUUUUUAGUUUAUUCGUUAAGGAUCUAUAUUUUUUAAACGAGGGCUGUUCAAAUCGUUUGCCAAACAAUCAUAUCAAUUUUGAAAAAUGUUCACAACUCGCCAAACAGGUGAUGGAGUUCAACGAAUGGAAGAAGGUUACUUGCCCAUUUGAGCAGCUACCAAAUGUGAUUGCAUAUCUGCAGACUAGCAGUGUUCUAAAUGAGAACACACUAUCGAUGGCGUCUUUCGAAUGCGAACCGCCUGAAAAUACAGAGGAGAAGGGACGUUACAAAACGGUCAAAGCCGAAACGAAACAACAGUUAUUAAAUCAAUUGCAAGAGCAACAACAACACCAACCAUAGUUUAUUGCAACAGUGUCGUAGUGUCGUAGCAAAAGGAAAUAAGAUAUUUUUUCAGAGUAAAUCAGUGAACAUGAUAACAAUCUAUGUAAAACUCUUGAAACUGAACUCCAAUAUUGUGCAAAAAAAUCUUUCGAUGUGAAAGAAAACAAAAGUAUGACUGGUGGUAGCUAUAACGAUGCUUUCCUUUAUAAGAUUAUUAAUCUAAGCAAAACUUUUAAAACAACAAACCAACAACACAAGAGAAGAUAAAAAA
Molecule: unclassified non-coding RNA, 3745 nt
Filed under: Rhagoletis pomonella (apple maggot)
Lineage: Eukaryota; Metazoa; Arthropoda; Insecta; Diptera; Tephritidae
Description: ras-GEF domain-containing family member 1B, transcript variant X3
Source: RNAcentral